RNAcentral lists this ribosomal RNA (460 nucleotides) under uncultured bacterium. Its description in RNAcentral is "partial 16S ribosomal RNA". It matches the Rfam family "Bacterial small subunit ribosomal RNA", at positions 338 to 795 of the family's 1533-position model. The record is from RNAcentral.
CCUACGGGAGGCAGCAGUGAGGAAUAUUGGUCAAUGGGCGCGAGCCUGAACCAGCCAAGUCGCGUGAGGGAAGACGGCCCUACGGGUUGUAAACCUCUUUUGCCGGGGAGCAACGGGCGCCACGUGUGGCGCCACUGAGAGUACCAGGAGAAAAAGCAUCGGCUAACUCGGGGCCAGCAGCCGCGGUAGUACGGAGGAUGCGAGCGUUAUCCGGAUUGAUUGGGUUAAAAGGGUCAGUAGGCGGAGCGUUAAGUCAGUGGUCAAAUUGAGGGGCUCAACCCCUUCCCGCCAUUGAAACUGGCGCUCUUGAGUGGAAGAGAAGUAUGCGGAAUGCGUGGUGUAGCGGUGAAAUGCAUAGAGAUCACGCAGAACCCCGAUUGCGAAGGCAGCAUGCCGGCUUCCGACUGACGCUGAAGCACGAAAGCGUGGGGAUCGAACAGGAUUAGAUACCCUUGUAGUC